AUUGAACGCUGGCGGCAUGCCUUACACAUGCAAGUCGAACGGCAGCACGGGUGCUUGCACCUGGUGGCGAGUGGCGAACGGGUGAGUAAUACAUCGGAACGUACCUUAUCGUGGGGGAUAACGCAGCGAAAGCUGUGCUAAUACCGCAUACGCCCUGAGGGGGAAAGCGGGGGAUCGAAAGACCACGAGCGACUAGAGCGGCCGAUGACUGCUCAGCUUGUUGGUGGGGUAAAAGCCCACCAAGGCGAAGAUCAGUAGCUGGUCUGAGAGGACGAUAAGCCACGGUGGGACUGAGACACGGCCAAGACUCCUACGGGAGGCAGCAGUGGGGAAUGUUGGACAAUGGGGGCAACCCUGAUCCAGCAAUGCCGCGUGAGUGAAGAAGGCCUUCGGGUUGUAAAGCUCUUUUGUCAGGGAAGAAACACCGGCUCUAACACAGUCCGGGAAUGACGGUACCUGAAGAAUAAGCACCGGCUAACUACGUGCCAGCCGCCGCAGUAA
RNAcentral lists this ribosomal RNA (501 nucleotides) under uncultured bacterium. Its description in RNAcentral is "partial 16S ribosomal RNA". It matches the Rfam family "Bacterial small subunit ribosomal RNA", at positions 29 to 523 of the family's 1533-position model. The record is from RNAcentral.